GGGCCUGUAGCUCAGUGGUUAGAGCAGUCGGCUCAUAACCGAUUGGUCGUUAGUUCAAUUCUAACCAGGCCCACCA
This 76-nucleotide transfer RNA is filed under the name Candidatus Altimarinota bacterium. Its description in RNAcentral is "tRNA-Ile". It matches the Rfam family "tRNA". From Rfam's summary of the family: Transfer RNA (tRNA) molecules are approximately 80 nucleotides in length. Their secondary structure includes four short double-helical elements and three loops (D, anti-codon, and T loops). The record is from RNAcentral. Lineage: Bacteria; Candidatus Altimarinota.